AGCUUUGUGCAUUGGCAGUAUCGUAGCCAAUGAGGUUUCUCUGAGGCGCAAUUAUUGCUAAUUGAAAACUUUUCCCAAUACCCGACCAUGACGACUUGAAAUACAGUCUGCAUUGGGAAUUUUUGACAGUCUCUAUGGGGA
This is a small nuclear RNA of Callithrix jacchus (white-tufted-ear marmoset), 141 nucleotides long. Its record names the gene U4. It matches the Rfam family "U4 spliceosomal RNA". From Rfam's summary of the family: U4 small nuclear RNA (U4 snRNA) is a component of the major U2-dependent spliceosome. The structure of U4 snRNA from yeast and human has been reported. U4 snRNA presents a k-turn RNA motif in the 5p-SL related to recognition of Snu13 protein. Lineage: Eukaryota; Metazoa; Chordata; Mammalia; Primates; Cebidae. The record is from Ensembl.